Molecule: ribosomal RNA, 253 nt
Filed under: uncultured bacterium
Lineage: Bacteria
Description: partial 16S ribosomal RNA
Rfam family: Bacterial small subunit ribosomal RNA
Source: RNAcentral
UACGUAAGUGGCGAGCGUUAUCCGGAAUUACUGGGCGUAAAGCGUGUGUAGGCGGUUUAGUGUGUGGGAAUUGAAAGCCCGGGGCUCAACUCCGGAUCCGGUUCCCAAACUGCUAGACUCGAGCGUAUCAGAGGACAGUGGAAUUCCCGGUGUAGCGGUAAUAUGCGUAGAUAUCGGGAGGAACACCAGUGGCGAAGGCGACUGUCUGGGGUAUUGCUGACGCUGAGACACGAAAGCCAGGGGAGCGAACGGG